GGGUUUGAGUUAAGUUGUAGAAAUUCUAUUGCUAAUAUGUAUUUUUAUUGUAGUAGAGUUGAAUUGGCGGAGAAAGUUUUUGUUGGAACAGAGAGGGAUGUUGUUUCUAGGCUAGUAAAGAUAAGGGGUUAUGUAUUUAAUCAUAUGUAUGCUGAUGCUGUGAGGUACAUUUUGUCAAUGGAGAAUGCUGUUGAAAUUUUAGUUAUGGAUCAGACUAUUUUCGUGCCUCUGCUAUCUGCUUGCGCCAAGAUGCGUUUGCUCAAUGCCGG
Molecule: unclassified non-coding RNA, 269 nt
Filed under: Hevea brasiliensis (rubber tree)
Lineage: Eukaryota; Viridiplantae; Streptophyta; Magnoliopsida; Malpighiales; Euphorbiaceae
Source: RNAcentral